UAACCUUACGGGGGGAGGGUACGGUUACCACGGUGUGAUUCAUGACUGGGGUG
This 53-nucleotide ribosomal RNA is filed under the name uncultured bacterium. RNAcentral's name for it is "partial 16S ribosomal RNA". The record is from RNAcentral.